Molecule: ribosomal RNA, 520 nt
Filed under: uncultured Entrophospora
Lineage: Eukaryota; Fungi; Glomeromycota; Glomeromycetes; Entrophosporales; Entrophosporaceae
Description: SSU rRNA
Rfam family: Eukaryotic small subunit ribosomal RNA
Source: RNAcentral
AGCAGCCGCGGCAAUUCCAGCUCCAAUAGCGUAUAUUAAAGUUGUUGCAGUUAAAAAGCUCGUAGUUGAAUUUCGGGAUUGGCGCAUCGGUCGUGCCUUACGGGGUAUGAACUGGUGCAGUCAAUUUCUCACCUUCUGGAGAACCGCGAUGUCCUUAAUUGGGUGCCGCGGGGAACCAGGACCUUUACUUUGAAAAAAUUAGAGUGUUUAAAGCAGGCAUUUUUGCUUGAAUACAUUAGCAUGGAAUAAUAAAAUAGGACGGCAUGGUUCUAUUUUGUUGGUUUCUAGGACCACCGUAAUGAUUAAUAGGGAUAGUUGGGGGCAUUAGUAUUCAAUUGUCAGAGGUGAAAUUCUUGGAUUUAUUGAAGACUAACUACUGCGAAAGCAUUUGCCAAGGAUGUUUUCAUUAAUCAAGAACGAAAGUUAGGGGAUCGAAGACGAUCAGAUACCGUCGUAGUCUUAACCAUAAACUAUGCCGACUAGGAAUCAGACGAUGUUAAUUUUUUAAUGACUCGUUUGG